GUGAGGAAUAUUGGUCAAUGGGCGGGAGCCUGAACCAGCCAAGUCGCGUGAAGGAAGAAGGAUCUAUGGUUCGUAAACUUCUUUUGCAGGGGAAUAAAGUGCAGGACGUGUCCUGUUUUGUAUGUACCCUGAGAAUAAGGAUCGGCUAACUCCGUGCCAGCAGCCGCGGUAAUCCGGAGGAUCCGAGCGUUAUCCGGAUUUAUUGGGUUUAAAGGGUGCGUAGGUGGUUUGAUAAGUCAGCGGUGAAAGUUUGCAGCUUAACUGUAAAAAUGCCGUUGAAACUGUCGGACUUGAGUGUAAAUGAGGUAGGCGGAAUGCGUGGUGUAGCGGUGAAAUGCAUAGAUAUCACGCAGAACUCCGAUUGCGAAGGCAGCUUACUAAGCUACAACUGACACUGAAGCACGAAAGCGUGGGGAUCAAACAGGAUUAGAAACCCUUGUAGUCC
RNAcentral lists this ribosomal RNA (445 nucleotides) under uncultured bacterium. Its description in RNAcentral is "partial 16S ribosomal RNA". It matches the Rfam family "Bacterial small subunit ribosomal RNA", at positions 354 to 796 of the family's 1533-position model. The record is from RNAcentral.